GACGAACGCUGGCGGCGUGCUUAACACAUGCAAGUCGAACGGAAAGGCCCUGCUUUUGUGGGGUGCUCGAGUGGCGAACGGGUGAGUAACACGUGAGUAACCUGCCCUUGACUUUGGGAUAACUUCAGGAAACUGGGGCUAAUACCGGAUAGGAGCUCCUGCUGCAUGGUGGGGGUUGGAAAGUUUCGGCGGUUGGGGAUGGACUCGCGGCUUAUCAGCUUGUUGGUGGGGUAGUGGCUUACCAAGGCUUUGACGGGUAGCCGGCCUGAGAGGGUGACCGGCCACAUUGGGACUAAGAUACGGCCCAGACUCCUACGGGAGGCAGCAGCGGGGAAUAUUGCACAAUGGGCGGAAGCCUGAUGCAGCAACGCCGCGUGCGGGAUGACGGCCUUCGGGUUGUAAACCGCUUUCGCCUGUGACGAAGCGUGAGUGACGGUAAUGGGUAAAGAAGCACCGGCUAACUACGUG
RNAcentral lists this ribosomal RNA (468 nucleotides) under uncultured bacterium. RNAcentral describes it as "partial 16S ribosomal RNA". It matches the Rfam family "Bacterial small subunit ribosomal RNA", at positions 28 to 507 of the family's 1533-position model. The record is from RNAcentral.